AGAGUUUGAUCCUGGCUCAGAAUGAACGUUGGCGGCGUGGAUUAGGCAUGCAAGUCGCACGAGAAGCUCUUCUUGCUUGCAUUAGGAGCGGACAGUGGCGAAAGGGAGAGUAACGCGUGGAUACUUACCCCGGGGUCCGGGAUAGCUGAGGGAAACUUCAGGUAAUACCGGAUAACGUUUCCGAACCAAAGGUGUGAUUCCGCCUUGGGAUAGGUCCGCGUCCUACUAGCUUGUUGGUGAGGUAAUGGCUCACCAAGGCCAAGAUGGGUAGCGGGUGUGAGAGCAUGGCCCGUCUCACUGGGACUGAGACACUGCCCAGACACCUACGGGUGGAUGCAGUCGAGAAUCUUCCGCAAUGGGCGAAAGCCUGACGGAGCGACGCCGCGUGCGGGAUGAAGGCCCUCGGGUUGUAAACCGCUGUCAGUUGGGAGGAAAUGCAUAGGGGCACUCUCCUAUGUUUGACCGAUCUUCAGAGGAAGUCCGGGCUAAGUUCGUGCCAGCAGCCGCGGUAAGACGAACCGGACGAACGUUAUUCGGAAUCACUGGGCUUAAAGGGUACGUAGGCGGCUUCGUAGGUUGGGUGUGAAAUCCCACGGCUCAACCGUGGAACUGCGCUCAGAACCACGAGGCUUGAGGGAAGCAGAGGUAAGCGGAACUGAUGGUGGAGCGGUGAAAUGCGUUGAUAUCAUCAGGAACACCAGUGGCGAAGGCGGCUUACUGGGCUUCUUCUGACGCUGAGGUACGAAAGCUAGGGUAGCGAACGGGAUUAGAUACCCCGGUAGUCCUAGCUGUAAACGAUGAGCACUUGGUCGAGGGGACCUCCACAUCUUCUCGGCCGUAGCGAAAGCGUUAAGUGCUCCGCCC
RNAcentral lists this ribosomal RNA (864 nucleotides) under uncultured Planctomycetota bacterium. RNAcentral describes it as "bacterial SSU rRNA". It matches the Rfam family "Bacterial small subunit ribosomal RNA", at positions 9 to 873 of the family's 1533-position model. The record is from RNAcentral. Lineage: Bacteria; Pseudomonadati; Planctomycetota.